RNAcentral lists this long non-coding RNA (2355 nucleotides) under Sus scrofa (pig). RNAcentral describes it as "lncRNA (ENSSSCG00065028345.1)". The record is from RNAcentral. Lineage: Eukaryota; Metazoa; Chordata; Mammalia; Artiodactyla; Suidae.
AGGCUCCCAGGGCCACCAUCGGGGCAGUGACCGAGCGAAAGCAGUUGCGCAGGAACCCCCAGACAGACCUGAAAUCUGGGCCCAUGGGCCAAGCGCGCUGACGUAGAGCCUGUCUCUAGGACACGAAUUCUGCGCAAAGGCCAACUUCAGCGUCUUAACGGUGCAAACAGAGAAUCCUAAUACAAGGCCUGAAGCCUGGAGAAAAGGCGCGGCAGGCUUUCCCGGAAGUCUGAGGAGGCGGAUUAGCCUCCGCCCUCCGACAUCCCGCCCCGCGCUCGCCUACUCCGCCCAGCUUCUCGUCCGCGCGCCGCCUUCGAUUCUCGCCUGCAAGUGUCGGGCCUUCCCCGUCAUCAGGUUUGCGAACGGCCCCGCCCGCUGGUUUGUCUUGGCCACCUCGGUUGGGAACCUUCCCGCAAAUCAGGCCUGAGUCAGGACCGGAAGCCCGUGAAGUGCUGAUCGGUUCCCGACAGUGAGAGCACCAAGUCACGGUACCCAUUUGGUGGGAGGGAAGUGGAGCACCGCCCAAGAAGCCUCCGGUUGGCGUCUGGGGCUGGGCACCAGGAGCUGGAAAUGACCCGGCCUUACUCCGAGAGCAUCACUUGAGACCAGGCCUACAAAGAGUACACUUGUCUUGGAGUCCUUGGAGGGGGCAGCUAUGAGGUCAAAGUCAAAGGAGGAAAUGAGAGCUCUAGCACUAACUUGGGAAAGGUGGAUUGCCUGGCUUCUGACAACAAGGUGAAGUGUUGGGGAAACUGCAGGAGAUUAAGGUAAGGAUGCCAGCAGUACCUCCUGCUACCCCUAAACACACCUGCCCCUCCCUACAGCCCUUGCAGAACACUCCCAAAUAUUCUAAUGAUACCCUGAAGGUGGAGCCAGUGCUGGAAGGGAAUCUGAGCCUCCUGCUCCUGAAGAAUGAAUUAAAAAACAAAACAAGUAAACCCCCAAACCCUAGGACUAGGAGGUGAGAACUUGACUCAAUAUCUGGUCUAAUCCAGUCACACUGGAAUUGUUGGGGUGGAGAGAGAAGUAGAUUCUGAAUAGAUUUAACUCCCAUCUGCGGCAUGUGGAAGUUCCUGGACCAGGGAUCCAUCCUGUGCCACGGCAGCAACUUGGGCUGCUGAAGUGACAAUGCCGGCUCCCUAACCCACUGCACUGCAGGAGAUUUAAGAGGAGAGAAUAUAGACUCCUCGAUGGGAGGAGUGUCAGCAUCACAUUAAAGAAGAGCAUGUGGUAUAGAAUAUCUUGCAACCCUCUUGAAAAAUGAAAUGGAAUGGUGAAAGACUAAGUACUUUCCUACAGGGACUGAGAUAACCCCAAAGCACCAUGUUUUGAUAACUAUUUGUGUAUAACCACUUCAAAACAUAGUGGCCUAAAAUAACAAUUUAGGAGUUUCUGCUGUGUCGCAGUGGGUAAAUGAUCUGGCUUGUCUCUGUGGAGGUGUGAGUUGGAUCUCUUGCCUGGCGCAGUGGGUUGGGGAUCCAGUGUUGCUGCAGCUCUGGUAUAGGUCACAGCUCUGACCCCUGGCUCAGGAAUUUAACAUAUGCCACAGGGGCAGUGGGGAAAAAAAAGGAAAGAAAGAAAUAAUAAUUACAAAAAAAUAAAACAGACUUCCUGUUGUGGCUCAGCAGUAAAAAACCUAACCAGUAUCAAUGGGAUGCAGGUUCAAUCCCUAGCUCAAUGGAUUAAAGAUCCGGUAUUGACAUGAGCUGCCAUAUAGGUCAAAGACACGGCUUGGCUCAGAUCUGGCGUUGCUGUGGCUGUGGCAUAGGCUGGUAGCUACAGCUCCAAUUAGACUCCUAGACUGGGAACUUCCAUGUGCCUCAGGUGUGGCCAUUAAAAAAAAAAAAGAUAUACACUGGAAUUCUGGUGCAGUGGGUUAAGGAUCUAGCAUCAUCACUGCAGUGGCUCGAGUUGGUGCUGUGGGUCGGGUUUGAUCCCUGGCCUAAGAACUUCCAUAUUUGGCAGGCAUGGCAAAAAAACAAAAAAGAAAGAUGCAUACACCUAAUGUUUGUAGCAGUGCUAAUUGCAAUAGCCAAGACAUGGAGGCAACCUAAAGGUCCAUCAACAGGUGAAUGGAUAAAGAGGAUGUGCUUUGGGGAGUUCCCAUUAUGGCUCAGUGGUAACGUACCCAACUAGUAUCCAUGAGGAUACAGGUUGGAUCCCUGGCCUUGAUCAGUGGGUUAAGGAUCUGGCAUUGCCAUGAGGUGUUGUAGGUCGCAGACAAGGCUUGGUUCCUGAGUUGCUAUGGCUGUGGUGUAGGCAGGCAGCUGCAACUCCAAUUUGACCCCUAACCUGGGAACUUCGGUAUGCCCGGUGUGGCCAUAAAAAGACCAAAAAAAAAAAAAAAGGAUGUGG